UCCUGGCUCAGAUUGAACGCUGGCGGCAGGCCUACCACAUGCAAGUCGAGCGGUAGCACAGAGAGCUUGCUCUCGGGUGACGAGCGGCGGACGGGUGAGUAAUGUCUGGGAAACUGCCUGAUGGAGGGGGAUAACUACUGGAAACGGUAGCUAAUACCGCAUAACGUCGCAAGACCAAAGAGGGGGACCUUCGGGCCUCUUGCCAUCAGAUGUGCCCAGAUGGGAUUAGCUAGUAGGUGGGGUAACGGCUCACCUAGGCGACGAUCCCUAGCUGGUCUGAGAGGAUGACCAGCCACACUGGAACUGAGACACGGUCCAGACUCCUACGGGAGGCAGCAGUGGGGAAUAUUGCACAAUGGGCGCAAGCCUGAUGCAGCCAUGCCGCGUGUAUGAAGAAGGCCUUCGGGUUGUAAAGUACUUUCAGCGGGGAGGAAGGUGUUGUGGUUAAUAACCACAGCAAUUGACGUUACCCGCAGAAGAAGCACCGGCUAACUCCGUGCCAGCAGCCGCGGUAAUACGGAGGGUGCAAGCGUUAAUCGGAAUUACUGGGCGUAAAGCGCACGCAGGCGGUCUGUCAAGUCGGAUGUGAAAUCCCCGGGCUCAACCUGGGAACUGCAUCCGAAACUGGCAGGCUUGAGUCUUGUAGAGGGGGGUAGAAUUCCAGGUGUAGCGGUGAAAUGCGUAAAGAGAUCUGGAGGAACCGGUGGCGAAGGCGGCCCCCUGACAGAC
RNAcentral lists this ribosomal RNA (729 nucleotides) under uncultured Enterobacter sp. RNAcentral describes it as "bacterial SSU rRNA". It matches the Rfam family "Bacterial small subunit ribosomal RNA", at positions 17 to 738 of the family's 1533-position model. Lineage: Bacteria; Pseudomonadati; Pseudomonadota; Gammaproteobacteria; Enterobacterales; Enterobacteriaceae. The record is from RNAcentral.